UGGGGAAUUUUUGACAAUGGGGGAAACCCUGAUCCAGUCAUCCCGCGUGUGCGUUGAAGGCCCUCGGGUUGUAAAGCACUUUUGUCAGGAAAGAAACGUCAUGGGUUAAUACCCUGUGAAACUGACGGUAUCUGCAGAAUAAGCACCGGCUAACUACGUGCCAGCAGCCGCGGUAAUACGUAGGGUGCAAGCGUUAAUCGGAAUUACUGGGCGUAAAGCGUGCGCAGGCGGUUCGGAAAGAAAGCUGUGAAAUCCCAGAGCUCAACGUUGGAACUGCAUUUUUAACUACCGGGCGAGAGUGUGUGAGAGGGGGGUGAAAUUCCGCGUGUAGCAGUGAAAUGCGUAGAUAUGCGGAGGAACACCGAUGGCGAAGGCGGCCACCUGGGAUAACACUGACGCUCAUGCACGAAAGCGUGGGGAGCAAACAGG
This 429-nucleotide ribosomal RNA is filed under the name Acidobacteriota bacterium. Its description in RNAcentral is "Acidobacteria bacterium partial 16S ribosomal RNA". It matches the Rfam family "Bacterial small subunit ribosomal RNA", at positions 355 to 776 of the family's 1533-position model. Lineage: Bacteria; Pseudomonadati; Acidobacteriota. The record is from RNAcentral.